Non-coding RNA from Methylobacterium sp. 4-46, 97 nucleotides. Lineage: Bacteria; Pseudomonadati; Pseudomonadota; Alphaproteobacteria; Hyphomicrobiales; Methylobacteriaceae. The record is from Rfam.
GGGAGGUUGGCGGGGGACGUUUCACUCGCCAACCGGGUCAGGUCCGGAAGGAAGCAGCCCUAACGAGAACGAGCGGGUUCUCGUCCAGCCUCCCACC